CAAUAGCGUAUAUUAAAGUUGUUGCGGUUAAAAAGCUCGUAGUUGGAUUUCUGCUGAGGACGAUCGGUCCGCCCUCUGGGUGAGUAUCUGGCUCGGCCUUGGCAUCUUCUUGGAGAACGUUACUGCACUUGACUGUGUGGUGCGGUAUCCAGGACUUUUACUUUGAGGAAAUUAGAGUGUUUCAAGCAGGCGCACGCCUUGAAUACAUUAGCAUGGAAUAAUAAGAUAGGACCUUGGUUCUAUUUUGUUGGUUUCUAGAGCUGAGGUAAUGAUUAAUAGGGAUAGUUGGGGGCAUUCGUAUUUAACAGUCAGAGGUGAAAUUCUUGGAUUUGUUAAAGACGGACUACUGCGAAAGCAUUUGCCAAGGAUGUUUUCAUUGA
RNAcentral lists this ribosomal RNA (380 nucleotides) under uncultured eukaryote. RNAcentral describes it as "partial 18S ribosomal RNA". It matches the Rfam family "Eukaryotic small subunit ribosomal RNA", at positions 592 to 976 of the family's 1831-position model. The record is from RNAcentral.